Molecule: non-coding RNA, 541 nt
Organism: Electrophorus electricus (electric eel)
Lineage: Eukaryota; Metazoa; Chordata; Actinopteri; Gymnotiformes; Gymnotidae
Source: RefSeq, a predicted model, not a curated record
CUGUGUGUGUGCGUGUACAUGUGUGUGUGCAUGUUUGUGUGUGUGUGUGUGUGUGUGUGUAUGUGUGUGUUUGUCUCCAGGACUGCGUCCCGGUUCUCUCCUCUCCACGACUGAUGACAGCAGGUCCCACAGUGGCCGGAAACCAUCUGCAUCACUUCCUGUGCUGUGUGUCUUCCUGCUUACAGUCUUUAUUUUUAGCGCUGUGCACAACACGGCCUUUGACAAAGGUCUUGAUGGGAUUUCACAGGUCGUCUGAAACCACUGAAAGCCGUCCCUCCUGUCCUGUGUUCCGCAGUGCUGGGACAUGUCCAGCCAUGUUCACCUCUUUCUCUGUUACUGUUACGGGGAUGUCCAUGAAGGGGUUCUGGGUCUCCUGGUACAUUUACCUGUGCUGUGACGAAGUGCUCGUGAUGGAUGCUUUGGCUUCAACUUUAUUUUCCUUUUUCUAGUCUCAGCAUUUUUAUCUUUCUACAGAAAAAUCAUCUUGAGUGUCAUUUAUGGGAAGUGGAUUUAAUACUUAAUAUUGUCAUAUAUAACACCA